GCGCCAUAACCUUCAUUCCCCACGCGCGCGCCGAGGCCACCAUCACCUUCCUUCCCCACGCACCGAGGCCGCCAUCCGUGCCAUCGCCUUCCUUCCUUACGUGCGCCCCCCCUCCGUGUGUGCCCCGCCCUUGUCCUUCGCUCACCCUAUGCCCUGCCACCUCCGCCGUGACAGCCUCACUCACCUCGGAUAUCCAUGGGACGGCGCAGUGCGACCCCGACCUCAGCGUUCCAUGGAAGGGCGCGAUCCACUCUGCUGAGCUCCUCGUCCUUGCAUAGGCGUACGCGCAGGCCGAGGAGCUCUCCAUCGAGCGCGAGCAUCUCAUCGCUGAGCUCCAGUUCUUGCAGAGCGCCAGCCGCGAGCGCGAGAUCUCCCAGGCCCACCUCCAGCAGAACCUUCUCAUCAGCGAUGGGGGAACUAGAUGGUGAGGAGGAGGAGGAAGUGGAGCGCAUCCUGUGACGGCGAUGCGGGUAGCACUAGGGAAAUCCAGCCGCAUCUACUCGCCUUCGCUCAGGCUUUUCCCGCUGGCCACAACUCUGGGACCAUCCACAUCUACAUCUGGGACAAGGGUUUACCUAAAGGAAAGGGCCUACUUUUGCUUGCUGAAAUGAGCUCAGCUGGCAACCUUGCUUGGACUACACUACUGCGGUUGUAAAGAGUGUCGAGCAACAUCCUGCUUUGUAAUAGGAUGUAGAUCAGUAAAUCCUGCAUCUUGGUCUCCAGCGCCGUCGAGCCCAGCAUUCAUCCAUGCCACUCCUGGAGUUUAGAUGGCUGUUGGAGGAGAUGCCCUUGGGCAACAAUAUAAUACUCCCAUUUUUGUGAGUGCAUUUUUGCCAUUCGGUUCUCGUUGGAUGGCUCACUUGCUUCUUGUCGACUGGGGAUUAGGUGUGUUGGGUUGUGGCCACUGGCCGGCGACAGCUAGGAACAACAACCUGUAGUAGGUGUCAAUUGAGGCGACAUUGCGUCAGGAAGCAGAAGACAUGCACACAAUUGGUGAAUGACAACUUUGCAUCUGUGAUUUGGCCCAAGAAAAUUUGUUCUUAACACUUGGUGGGAAUAAAAAGGAACAGAGAGAUAGUGAUGGAUGGCCAGGAGAGGCGAGGGCCACCUCACCGUAGAUGGAGCCCACGGCGCACGCAAGGAGUGGCGCACCUUCUCCGGCUCCUUGCUCUGCUCCAAUGGCGUCAAUGUCCACGUGCCACGUCAUGGAGCGGAUGCAGCACAAUUGGCUAGCUGUAUACAUGCAUCUGUUCAAUCCAUGGCUUCUCGACGCUCUCCUAGGUUUUGGACUUCAAAACUUUGUCAUGGUCAAAGCUAGAAGCUAAAUCACAAGCAGAACCAUCCGAAUUAGCUGGAGCAGUUUCAUUUUCAGCAAGUGCUGGUCAUUCACUGAUGCAGGUGCUACCGAGGAAGAGGAGGCGCUCCCGGUCCUGGCUUCUAAACGUUGUGAACCAGAUCUUGGUGCGGUUGCCCGAGUAGUUUACUCGUCUAGAGGAGGGGUUUGGUUGUCGACCCGAUUUGGUGGGGGCUUCGCCACUGGGAUAAGGGGACAGUUUGGCCUACUGGAUCUUUAUUGCCAGUUGUUGGUUCUGUCCUUUCCAUUGGGCUGGUACUUUCUUGACGGAUUGGUUAAGCGCUGUCUGUGGGGUUGUUGUGCUGCUCCUCCCUUCAUCUCGUUUUGUGGUGAUUGGUGGAGGGGGAGGAGGAAGAGCUAGGAGGAUUCUCUCGCUUGUUCUUGGGUCAGUUCUUGGCGCGGCAGGAUGAAGUAUAUGAAGCUUGGAUCAAAGCCGAAUGUCCUUUAGGGCUUAUUCGGUUAUUUUCAAUCCAUAUGGAUUGGAGGGGAUUGAUACGGAUUGAAGGGGAUUUUGACUUACUAGGGAUUGAAUCCCCCUCAAUCACCCUCAAUCCAUAUGGAUUGGGGUAGAACCGAACAUGCCCUUAGACGGAGGGGAGCAAUAUCAGGUGCCUUCCUGGUCAUCAGGCGACGCUCUUGAUGGUACAUGUUUUGAUGGUUUUCAUUACAUAGGACAUGUGAAAUACUAUUAGAAGAACAUCCGCGUAUAAAUAAUUAUCUUUUAGAUUUUUUGUCUUGUUAGCAUGAGCUCUCUCAAACAUUGUCUCUGCAGAGGACUAUGAUGCUGAUUAUAAAUUAUGUGUUGUUUUUCUUACUAUAAUCAUUGUUG
Zea mays is the source of this 2183-nucleotide RNA transcript. It is a transcript of the gene named protein-like pseudogene, with no coding region annotated. NCBI's taxonomy places the organism in Eukaryota, Viridiplantae, Streptophyta, Magnoliopsida, Poales, Poaceae. The transcript is spliced from 9 exons. The record is from RefSeq and is marked validated.